Molecule: ribosomal RNA, 292 nt
Filed under: uncultured bacterium
Lineage: Bacteria
Description: partial 16S ribosomal RNA
Source: RNAcentral
GGACUACUGGGGUAUCUAAUCCUGUUUGCUCCCCUAGCUUUCGCAGCUGAGCGUCAGUAAUAGUCCAGGUACCUGCUUUCGCCAUUGGUGUUCCUCCCGAUCUCUGCGCAUUUCACCGCUACACCGGGAAUUCCAGUACCCUCUCCUAUACUCAAGCUCGGCAGUAUCUGUUGGCCUCUCCCCGUUAAGCAAGGAGCUUUCACAACAGACUAACCGAACCGCCUACCUGCCCUUUACGCCUAGUAAUUCCGAGUAACGCUUGCCACCUUCGUAUUACCGCGGCUGCUGGCAC